RNAcentral lists this small RNA (1147 nucleotides) under Histoplasma capsulatum var. duboisii H88. RNAcentral's name for it is "Histoplasma capsulatum H88 hypothetical RNA". The record is from RNAcentral. Lineage: Eukaryota; Fungi; Ascomycota; Eurotiomycetes; Onygenales; Ajellomycetaceae.
GGCUUUACCAAAGCCCGCUAUCCCAGACCAGAGAAACGCCACGAUGCAUCCGGGCAAAGGCGCUGAGCAUGUGUUUAUCUUGGCAACAUUCGAGCGGCAGAGCGGUGUUGAGAUAUCCUCUCGCCUGUCAAAUUGUCAAUUGCCUUGACAAUUUGAUCGAGGGGUUGAAAUUCAGGAUGUUUGAGUGGGGAUUCGGAAUAUACAUGCAUCCAGAGCAUAUAUAGAACUUCUCUCUUAGCCUCCGACAACACAAUAUUUGUGGGAUAGGGAAUCGGAGGAUCAAUGAUCAACAACAAUAUUUCUCUAUUUCCAGGACCUGUGGGGCCUGUGGGAUGGGAGGAGGACCCAGUUCUAGAAUUCCUUUUUGCCUUUUGAGUUUUGAAGUUUUGACCUUAUUUUUCUAACAAGGACCUAGGAAAUGAAAAGGGACAAGUGAAAAUUCAACUGACGGUUUAGUAGAGAGCGUAGUGCACUGUAGAUAGUACCUCUCCUAGGUCAUUUCGCAGCUGCUACGGCCUGGUGGAGCGAUGUUCGACCUUACAGAGAAAUAAACUGACCAAGAAGAGAAAGAAAGCUGGAUGGAUCUUAAAGCACAUUCAAAUAGUAUCAACCACCACCAAAACAAAUAUGUCAUCAAUCUUUUAUGUAGUAGUUGUUGAUAGAGGUGGAAAGGUUGGUUCAUUGUAUGUAGCUCUCUCGCAGACGCAGCAGCUUUUCAAGAGCCCAGUGCCACCAGCGCCGUUCGGGGACGAACCGUUCAAUCCAAUCCCUCCAAUAACUAUUUAGCCAGAUGUUAGACGCCGUUAGAUGCAAUUCCCAAUUUAAACGACCUGUGAUUCAGCGGUGUUGCCGCCCAAGUUAUCGCACUCGUCGACAGGAGACAAUACCCGGCUACAUGGCUAGGGCGAAUUAUGAACCGUGACACUGCCUUGCCCUCCAGGUCAACUCUGCCAGGGAGCAGGCCCGCAAUUUCGCGAGGCUGGACGAAGCAUGAAACAGGGCAUCCGGAACCCGAUCGCUGCAGUUCAUGCUCCCUUCUCGAUCUUCCUAGCGAACUACACCUGCAGCUCAUGUCAUGGCUCGACUUCCGCGACAUACAAAUGCUGCGCGCCACAAACAGCUACUUUCGGCAUCUUCCAUCAGACAC